This is an RNA transcript of Mercurialis annua (annual mercury), 941 nucleotides long. RefSeq lists it as uncharacterized. The record is from RefSeq and is a predicted model, not a curated record. NCBI's taxonomy places the organism in Eukaryota, Viridiplantae, Streptophyta, Magnoliopsida, Malpighiales, Euphorbiaceae. The transcript is spliced from 9 exons.
AGACAGCAAAUUUGGUGACCACAUAAAAAGAAAAGGAAAUGUAUGAAAAAUUAGAAAGCAAAAAAUGGGGACAGCUCUCAUAUCCACUGCUUGCUUUCUCCCUUCACAAAAUAGGGAAGUGAUUGGACUCGUCCGAAAUUUAAAGAACAAAUUAUUUGGCAAAGUUAUUCGCAAAUCAAGUCUAUUCAGCAGAAACCGUAGAGACUUUAUGAUUGCCUCACUGCUUGGAAGGAAGGUCCAGAAGAGAGAGACGGUUAUUCCCGAACCAGAUUACCGAAUACCAGUUGUCUUACUUGGUUUAGCUGGUGGAUUAGCUUAUUCAGAUAACCUGUUACCAGCUGCACCAAUUGGUUUGCUUGGAUUGCUCUUAUUGUUCCAGACAACAAGAGUUAGAUUUGUUUUUGACGAUGAGGCUCUGGAGGUCAAAGUAGGAGAUCAACUUGACAAUUCAGGUGAAAAUGUAUUCGUGGGAGGAAAAAAUCGUUGGAAGUAUUCAACAUUUGUGAAUUGGGAACUAUGGUGGCCAAACUUCCCUAUUCUGGUUUAUUUCAAAGAGACUCAAACGAAACCUGAAGGACAAGUGCACUUCUUCCCGGUUAUUUUUAAUGGUAAGCAGCUUUACGACGUGAUGGUGGAGAGAGCUGGCCCGUCAAAAACUAGUGGACCAAAAGACUCCUAAAAGCUUGAGCAAUUUGAUGGUUCGGCAAUUUUCUUGCGAUUCAUUCUUUUAAUCAGUUGAUUUUUCUUGCAGAGAAGGAGUUGCAUCUGCUUGUUCAAGCUGGAUUGUCUAUUUCUGUUUCAACAGAUACUGCAGUAAUGUAUCAUCAUAUGGUUAUAUAUAUUGAUAAAUUUGGGAAAUUCAGGUUCAAGUGUAGUAGUGCAAGUUUAUGUAUCAUACAUGGUUUAUUGACCAAUAGCUAAUGAAUUAUCUUAUUGUUCAA